This 617-nucleotide ribosomal RNA is filed under the name Lactococcus lactis. Its description in RNAcentral is "bacterial SSU rRNA". It matches the Rfam family "Bacterial small subunit ribosomal RNA", at positions 74 to 682 of the family's 1533-position model. The record is from RNAcentral. Lineage: Bacteria; Bacillati; Bacillota; Bacilli; Lactobacillales; Streptococcaceae.
CUUGUACCGACUGGAUGAGCAGCGAACGGGUGAGUAACGCGUGGGGAAUCUGCCUUUGAGCGGGGGACAACAUUUGGAAACGAAUGCUAAUACCGCAUAAAAACUUUAAACACAAGUUUUAAGUUUGAAAGAUGCAAUUGCAUCACUCAAAGAUGAUCCCGCGUUGUAUUAGCUAGUUGGUGAGGUAAAGGCUCACCAAGGCGAUGAUACAUAGCCGACCUGAGAGGGUGAUCGGCCACAUUGGGACUGAGACACGGCCCAAACUCCUACGGGAGGCAGCAGUAGGGAAUCUUCGGCAAUGGACGAAAGUCUGACCGAGCAACGCCGCGUGAGUGAAGAAGGUUUUCGGAUCGUAAAACUCUGUUGGUAGAGAAGAACGUUGGUGAGAGUGGAAAGCUCAUCAAGUGACGGUAACUACCCAGAAAGGGACGGCUAACUACGUGCCAGCAGCCGCGGUAAUACGUAGGUCCCGAGCGUUGUCCGGAUUUAUUGGGCGUAAAGCGAGCGCAGGUGGUUUAUUAAGUCUGGUGUAAAAGGCAGUGGCUCAACCAUUGUAUGCAUUGGAAACUGGUAGACUUGAGUGCAGGAGAGGAGAGUGGAAUUCCAUGGGUAGCGGG